Cervus elaphus (red deer) is the source of this 979-nucleotide long non-coding RNA. RefSeq lists it as uncharacterized. The record is from RefSeq and is a predicted model, not a curated record. The transcript is spliced from 3 exons. Lineage: Eukaryota; Metazoa; Chordata; Mammalia; Artiodactyla; Cervidae.
AACCCCUGGAUCCCAUAAAGGGAGCAGGGAAAGGCUUAAAACCCACAGACGCCCAGGGCCGGCGCCCAGAGCCACCCCACCCAGCCGGCAGAAGGCACAUCCCACGGGCAGAGAAAGGGCCCAGGGCAGAGAGACAGCUGCGCGGGCUGGAAGGUUCAUGAAGGACUGAAGGACACGGGGCUCCCCUGGAGACGUGGAGUGAGGUCAGAAACUGCUGGGAGGCUCUGAGGAGUGAAAUGACCUCUGGAGUCUGUCUGGUAGGAAACCCUCCAAGGGUGUCCUACCAGGACCUUUGCCACUAGUGACUGAGUCUUUCCAACCGAGCUGAUUUCUGCAGCCUCUCAGCAUGAUCGGUCUCUCCGUGAAACUGAUGAGAUUCCCUGAUGAUGCUCCCUGACUCUGGUGGAAGGUGCAGGUGAAAUGAACACUUUCAUGGCUACUGAUUUCCCUUAGCAGAGCUGUGGAGUGUGACAAUGGUGUUUGUGUCCAAGCUAUCAAACGCCAUUAUCACACUAAAUAGCUACUGCUAGGCAAUCCUUCCGCUCCCUGAAGGCGUUGACGUCUGCUUGGUACGGGCAGGAAAGGUCAUCUCAUAGAGGUGCUCCCAGUCCCAUGUCAUUGCUGAGGACAUUCUGGUCCUUUUGUGCUCAUAACCAAGAUGUCAUCUGAAUGUUGCCUCUUCUCAUGCUGUUGUUUUAAAUAAGUUAAUUGAUUUUGAGCCUUUGUGUUUUCCCAAGUCAAUAAAAUGAUUGCAGCGUCCCCCAGAGCACCCAGGCACACGGUUAGUCUCGUGGUAAUUGUUCAACCCAUGCUUACUGAGUUGAAAUGGAGAGGAAGAGGGUAGAUGUGGAAAACAAACGGGUUUAAAUCUAGGGUUUGUAAACCACACGCUUAUAGAUAAAAAAUCAAGGUAUGUGGAUCUUCUACUUGUCAUCAUGAAGACAACUUUCUAAUAAACUUGUACAUGGCCUAAACGACC